UACGUACCGUCCAAACGUUAUUCGGAUUUACUGGGCUUAAAGGGUGCGUAGGCGGCUCAGAAAGUAGGGUGUGAAAGCCCUCGGCUCAACCGAGGAAUUGCGCUCUAAACUCCUGGGCUUGAGGAACGCAGAGGUAAGCGGAACUUACGGUGGAGCGGUGAAAUGCGUUGAUAUCGUAAGGAACACCAGGAGCGAAAGCGGCUUACUGGGCGUUUUCUGACGCUGAUGCACGAAAGCUAGGGGAGCGAACGGG
Molecule: ribosomal RNA, 253 nt
Filed under: uncultured bacterium
Lineage: Bacteria
Description: partial 16S ribosomal RNA
Rfam family: Bacterial small subunit ribosomal RNA
Source: RNAcentral